GGGGUGCUAUACAUGCAAGUCGAGCGGACCGACGGGAGCUUGCUCCCUUAGGUCAGCGGCGGACGGGUGAGUAACACGUGGGUAACCUGCCUGUAAGACUGGGAUAACUCCGGGAAACCGGGGCUAAUACCGGAUGCUUGAUUGAACCGCAUGGUUCAAUCAUAAAAGGUGGCUUUUAGCUACCACUUACAGAUGGACCCGCGGCGCAUUAGCUAGUUGGUGAGGUAACGGCUCACCAAGGCGACGAUGCGUAGCCGACCUGAGAGGGUGAUCGGCCACACUGGGACUGAGACACGGCCCAGACUCCUACGGGAGGCAGCAGUAGGGAAUCUUCCGCAAUGGACGAAAGUCUGACGGAGCAACGCCGCGUGAGUGAUGAAGGUUUUCGGAUCGUAAAACUCUGUUGUUAGGGAAGAACAAGUACCGUUCGAAUAGGGCGGCACCUUGACGGUACCUAACCAGAAAGCCACGGCUAACUACGUGCCAGCAGCCGCGGUAAUACGUAGGUGGCAAGCGUUGUCCGGAAUUAUUGGGCGUAAAGCGCGCGCAGGCGGUUUCUUAAGUCUGAUGUGAAAGCCCCCGGCUCAACCGGGGAGGGUCAUUGGAAACUGGGGAACUUGAGUGCAGAAGAGGAGAGUGGAAUUCCACGUGUAGCGGUGAAAUGCGUAGAGAUGUGGAGGAACACCAGUGGCGAAGGCGACUCUCUGGUCUGUAACUGACGCUGAGGCGCGAAAGCGUGGGGAGCGAACAGGAUUAGAUACCCUGGUAGUCCACGCCGUAAACGAUGAGUGCUAAGU
Molecule: ribosomal RNA, 797 nt
Filed under: Bacillus licheniformis
Lineage: Bacteria; Bacillati; Bacillota; Bacilli; Caryophanales; Bacillaceae
Description: bacterial SSU rRNA
Rfam family: Bacterial small subunit ribosomal RNA
Source: RNAcentral